RNAcentral lists this ribosomal RNA (1410 nucleotides) under metagenome. RNAcentral's name for it is "bacterial LSU rRNA". It matches the Rfam family "Bacterial large subunit ribosomal RNA", at positions 1537 to 2925 of the family's 2925-position model. The record is from RNAcentral.
AAAAUCCGGGGUGCUCUAUGCUGAGAUCUGAUAGCAAGCUGUACUUGUACAGCGAAGUGGCUGAUACCAUGCUUCCAGGAAAAGUCUCUAAGCUUCAGUUACACAGGAAUCGUACCCGAAACCGACACAGGUGGUCAGGUCGAGUAGACCAAGGCGCUUGAGAGAACUCUGCUGAAGGAACUAGGCAAAAUGGUACCGUAACUUCGGGAGAAGGUACGCUGCUGACGGUGAUGACCCUUGCGGUCUGAGCUAUUGGCAGCCGCAGAAACCAGGCCGCUGCAACUGUUUAUUAAAAACAUAGCACUCUGCAAACACGAAAGUGGACGUAUAGGGCGUGAUGCCUGCCCGGUGCUGGAAGGUUAAUUGAUGGGGUUAGCGUAAGCGAAGCUCUUGAUCGAAGCCCCAGUAAACGGCGGCCGUAACUAUAACGGUCCUAAGGUAGCGAAAUUCCUUGUCGGGUAAGUUCCGACCUGCACGAAUGGCAUAAUGAUGGCGGCGCUGUCUCCAGCAGAGGCUCAGUGAAAUCGAAAUCGCUGUGAAGAUGCAGUGUACCCGCGGCUAGACGGAAAGACCCCGUGAACCUUUACUGCAGCUUGACAUUGAACUUUGACCUUACUUGUGUAGGAUAGGUGGGAGGCUUUGAAGUUGGAACGCUAGUUCCAAUGGAGCCGUCCUUGAAAUACCACCCUGGUAAUGUUGAGGUUCUAACUCUGCCCCGUAAUCCGGGGCGAGGACCAUGUCUGGUGGGUAGUUUGACUGGGGCGGUCUCCUCCUAAAGAGUAACGGAGGAGUACGAAGGCGCGCUCAGCGUGGUCGGAAAUCACGCGUAGAGUAUAAAGGCAAAAGCGCGCUUAACUGCGAGACCCCCAAGUCGAGCAGGUACGAAAGUAGGUCUUAGUGAUCCGGUGGUUCUGUAUGGAAGGGCCAUCGCUCAACGGAUAAAAGGUACUCUGGGGAUAACAGGCUGAUACCGCCCAAGAGUUCAUAUCGACGGCGGUGUUUGGCACCUCGAUGUCGGCUCAUCUCAUCCUGGGGCUGAAGCAGGUCCCAAGGGUAUGGCUGUUCGCCAUUUAAAGAGGUACGCGAGCUGGGUUUAGAACGUCGUGAGACAGUUCGGUCCCUAUCUACCGUGGGCGCUGGAAAUUUGAGAGGAUCUGCUCCUAGUACGAGAGGACCAGAGUGGACGAACCUCUGGUGUACCGGUUGUCACGCCAGUGGCAUCGCCGGGUAGCUAUGUUCGGAAGGGAUAACCGCUGAAAGCAUCUAAGCGGGAAGCCUACCUCAAGAUAAGAUUUCCCUAGGAAUUUAUUCCUCUAAAGAGCCGUUCGAGACCAGGACGUUGAUAGGUUGGGUGUGGAAGCACGGUGACGUGUGAAGCUGACCAAUACUAAUUGCUCGUGAGGCUUGACU